Molecule: non-coding RNA, 29 nt
Filed under: Callithrix jacchus (white-tufted-ear marmoset)
Lineage: Eukaryota; Metazoa; Chordata; Mammalia; Primates; Cebidae
Also listed under: 4 other names
Source: RNAcentral
UGAAAAAGCAGAGCGACUCGGUUAAGGGA